CAACCCUCAGCCCCCCCGGGGACUGGUGUUGGGGAUCGGCCCGCCUCGCGCGGCGCCGUCCCCGAAAUACAGUGGCGGUCUCGCUGCAGCCUCCCCUGCGUAGUAGCACACCUCGCAUCGGAGAGCGGCGCGGCCACGCCGUGAAACCCCAACUUCUGAUAG
This 162-nucleotide unclassified non-coding RNA is filed under the name uncultured Stachybotrys. RNAcentral describes it as "sequence contains ITS2". Lineage: Eukaryota; Fungi; Ascomycota. The record is from RNAcentral.